UUUGAUUCAGGUGUGCGUAGUCGAACUCAUCUUCCUCCAAGCAUGUGAUCACUCUCGGAAAAAAAUACUCUCCAUUGCUGGGAAAAAAAUAUUUACUAGGAAUUAAACACAAUUAAACGGGGAUAUGUAUAUAUUAUUUUAUGAAGCAGUCCUAGUGAGUUGUUGUAAACUACACACUAAACUCUCUCUUUCUCCCAUUCUCUCCUUUUUUUUUUAGUAGAAGUCCCUCCUGGAUGGUGCACCUCGAAUCUAUAUUUAGAUGACAACAUCAUCAAUGGGAAACACUUUAUGUGAUUGCCAACAUCUAUAAUCUCGCAAAAUUAAGGUGAUUGUUGACACUAAAUACACCUUUGUUGCCAACAAUAUUCUAGCAAAUAAAGUUGAUUGUUAAACACUAAAUCAUGGGAAAGCCAUUGUAUACGCAGAAGGGCAAUAUACCUGGUUCUCCUUGAUUGUUCUUCUCAACUAUAAAGUAACCUGUGUUGCCACACUCAGGAUAUAUUUUGAGCAAGAAAGUUGUUGGACUGUCUUUUGUGGCAACGGAUCAUAUCAAGAGAGGAUAAUGUAAGCUGUUACUGACAAGCAUUGAAGAGCUGCUAGUUAGCCUCGAUGUAAGAACAAUAGUGCUUCCUUCAACUACAGUCAAAGUGCGUACAUGGACCGAUUCCUCCUUUCGAUUUGAAGUGAAGUUAUGAAAAGAGAAGAUAAAAUGAGGAUUAAGGAAUAUCGUUUUGCCCAUUCUAAUGGAACUACAUCCGUACAAUUUGUAGAAAAUGCAACUGAAGCAUAAAAUGAGGAAGGAUGGAGUAAUGUAGUGGAAGUUGUGUGUUGUUAUAUUUUUUUUAUGUAAAUGAGGAGUUGUAAUAUUUUGACAAUACCAAUUUAUGGAAAGGUUUUUCUUUUUCUUUUUUUU
Molecule: long non-coding RNA, 913 nt
Filed under: Glycine max (soybean)
Lineage: Eukaryota; Viridiplantae; Streptophyta; Magnoliopsida; Fabales; Fabaceae
Description: long non-coding RNA (GMAX_LNC004625)
Source: RNAcentral